CGUCUUGGUGUGGGUACUGGCUGUAGGGGCGGGGGCUGGGCACAGUUCUGUCUCCUCCACCCUGGGACUGGUCAAGCCGGAUGGAAGGGGUGGGGGUGACGACCACCAGGAGCGAUCGGGCUCUGCUGCUCGCCGCCCCACGGCCCCUCCCGAGAGCUACCCAUAGCAGAGAUAGCUGGAGUCUAUAGAAGCCAAAAGCACGGGCUUCCCUUCAGAGCAACCUACCUCCUCUGUGACCAGACAAGACCCAAGACUUCUCUUUUGCCUGUCUACUUGCAGCUGCAGAAGCCCUAUCCUGUGGCCACCGCAGCCUCCUCCAAGCGCUCUGUCCCCACACUGCCCAACCCUUAUGGACACCUCCGGGCACCGUUCUGAGAGCCCCUCAGUCUCCCAGCAACCACAAUGGGGGCAGCAGCGAAAGUGGACCCUGCCCCGCCCUGCCACCAAAGUCAGAGACAGUGACCACAUACAUCUCUUCUCCGAGUCUGCUCUACCAUCCAGCCCCAAGCCCUGGACAGGCCCUCAGCUUAAAAAUAUGAGCAUCACCUGAUUAUCUUUUGUCAACGAGUUGGUUUUUCCACAAAGGAGAUCUGAAAGCAGGCAUAAAGACACAAAUCCCAGGUUUUAUAAGGUCAAGGCAGAAAGAUCUCUGAGUUCCAGGUCAGCCUAAGCUAUGGAUCAACAGCAAAACAAGAUGACAAAAGACCAAGUUGGAGCCUGGAUGACUCAGAGCUGUUCCUCCCAGAAGCACUUAGACAAGCUAAUAAGGCACAUCAAAGCUGUGACAGGAUUGUCAAGAUGCCUCUAGACAAAACAGCACCACAGAGCUACCUGCCACAGCUCCAAACCCAGAAUGUGGCACACUGAAAUGAGGGUCUACUAAGAUAAGGUGCCAACCACGGGAAAUAUGUUUCAGUGUUAGACUAGCAAUACAGCUAUGACGUCCCAGCUAACCCUGGACCUUGGAGUUGCAAAUCUCAGAGGUCAUGUAGUCCAACAAAAGUUCAUUCCACAAAGCUGUAUACUUCAGCAUUCUCAAUGUGGUCCUGAGGGCAUGAAGGUUCUUAACAAGUCACUGCUCUUCAGUCCACAUUGGAAGGCCAAGGAAGUUGGAGUCUGGCGACAGAAGCAACGGCAUCAACUACAGGCAGACACACUCUCCAGCAAGAAUGGAAUGCUGAAGCUUAGGAAAAAUGCAAGAUUCCUUUGCGAUCCAUCCUAAUUGUAAGCUGCUGAGAGGAACAACUAGAAGGAGAAGACAGAAAAGGGGGAUGCACAGCUAAAACCUUCAGCUCAUUGUGAUCUGGGGGAGUUAACUGCUGAUUAAUGAUCAGCGUCUUCAUGACCUUUCUUGAAAGUCUUUCAAAAAAACUGCCGUCACCUAUGAACACGAUCUCCCUUCUGCAACUGCAAAUUCCUUUAGGGAAACACAGCACUGAAAGCCAAACAGCCAACACAGCAGACACACAGCACCUGUUUCCAGCCACUGCUCUGCCGCUUACCAACUGCAUAACCCAGUAUGAGCUAUCUGAUCUCUCUUGAUUGCUAGUUUUCUCACCUGUAAAAAGCAUGGUUCCUAUUCACCCUUCAAGACCCAGCUUAAGUAUUGCCUCUCCCAGGACCACAGGAGGAUCACAUCAUUCCCUCCGAAGUUCUGAGAAGAUUUGAUGCCGAUUUCCACACUGCUGCUUGGCUGUUCCUCUCGUAGACAGCAAAUGCCUUUGUUCUGCUAUGCCAUAUUUCUAUCAUAGGCUGGAACCGAUGGUCUGCACUGUGCUCAUUCACUUCAUAUCUCCAUCAGUUAGCACAAUUCCCAGACAGGAUAUGGCCAGGUGCCUCACGUUCCUGCCAUCACAUCUUCCCUGCCAUGCUGGAUUGUAUCCCUUCUUAAAACUCCCCCUGGCCCUUGUACGUCCUGUCAAUGAAUACAGCAUACACACCUCAGCCUGAAGGAUACCUGCAAAUGAGGUUCCUAUCAUAAAGAGAAGCUGCAUUCUCGGAGCAUGAGGACCCCUAUGUGAAGUCACACCCAAUAAAACAAAACUUGAUUAACAACAGA
Long non-coding RNA from Mastomys coucha (southern multimammate mouse), 2059 nucleotides. RefSeq lists it as uncharacterized. NCBI's taxonomy places the organism in Eukaryota, Metazoa, Chordata, Mammalia, Rodentia, Muridae. The record is from RefSeq and is a predicted model, not a curated record. The transcript has 8 exons.